AAAGUCGUAACAAGGUUUCCGUAGGUGAACCUGCGGAAGGAUCAUUACACUCAGUAGAUUUCUACUGGUCUAGGGGAGCGGAAACUUUUCCAGGCUGCUUCGGCGCUUGGGUCUACGAGUACGCUCUCUGUCUAUACCCUUGUCUUUUUGCGUACUCAUGUUUCCUCGGCGGGCCUGCCCGCCGGCUGGACAACUCUAUAACCUUUUUCAUUUUCAAUCAGCGUCUGAAUAAUUAUAAUAAUUACAACUUUCAACAACGGAUCUCUUGGUUCUG
RNAcentral lists this unclassified non-coding RNA (274 nucleotides) under Ascomycota sp. RNAcentral's name for it is "partial contains small subunit ribosomal RNA, internal transcribed spacer 1, and 5.8S ribosomal RNA". The stretch from base 1 to 47 matches the Rfam family "Eukaryotic small subunit ribosomal RNA", at positions 1785 to 1831 of the family's 1831-position model. Lineage: Eukaryota; Fungi; Ascomycota. The record is from RNAcentral.